Pristis pectinata (smalltooth sawfish) is the source of this 270-nucleotide long non-coding RNA. RefSeq lists it as uncharacterized. The record is from RefSeq and is a predicted model, not a curated record. The transcript has 4 exons. NCBI's taxonomy places the organism in Eukaryota, Metazoa, Chordata, Chondrichthyes, Rhinopristiformes, Pristidae.
CAGAAAUGGUGGUCAACAGCAGACGGGCCAAAUGGCCCCCAUCCCGUGGACUGUGCACUAUAAUUUCAUGACAACAGUGCAUUGAGGAAGUACAAGGGAAAACAAUAACAGAAUGCAGAAUGAAGUGUUACAGAGAAAGUGCAGUGCAGCAGCAGUCCAAUGGCAGAGCCCCUGUCAGCAGACUGACCUACAAGCACACUGUGGAGGAGUAGCAAACAACUUUUCAGAGAGUCCUAUGGCACGGAAACAGGCCCUCCGGCCCAAUUCGUC